AUGACAUUUUUCUUUUAAAUUUUGAUAUUAUUUUAUUCUUUUUUUCCUUUUUCUUUUUUUCUUUUUAGUUAUCUCUUUUCCUUUUCCUUUUCUUUUUCUUCUUCGAACCCUGGCCGCCACCGGUUGGAGAGUUCCACCACCGUGCUCCGACGGGCACAAAACCACCACCACACAAUAGGUUUCCACACCCUCUAUCCAUCAUUUGGUUUAGAUUUUCCCAAAAAGCAACCAAAACCUACAAAACCCCAAGCAAAGGUUUGACGUUAAAAACCUCGAUUGCCGGCGUCCACCGUUGGAUCGCCACAAGCCCCAAAAGAUAAUUAGUGUUUGAUGUUUGCCGGUGUAUGUGGGGUGAGGAUUGCUCGCGAUUUGGGUUUUUAGUUCUUCUCAAGUCGGUCGUGCUUUGAUUCUCCGAGCCUUAUUUUACUUUCUAGAAAAUUUGCUUCUUAAUGGAGGAUUGCUCGCAAGGCUAUGAAUUUUAAUGAAAUCGGAGAUAGUGAGCACUCAAUUCCAAGUGCUUAUAGGACCAUCACCACCGCCCUUAACGUUUUGCGAUUUAAUUUGAUGUAUGUUUUCGGCGAAGUGAAGGAAUUAAUGGAGUUGGUAGAGAAGCAAGCACGGAAGGCAAGAAUCGAAAACGACCCCAACAAUGAACAAGCCAUGAGACGAGCUCUUUGGGUUUUGGACUAAAAUGAGAAUUUAUUACAUAAUUUUUGUAGGGUUAUAUAUACCUCAUUUAAAUUAAUUUAAAAGUUCGAGGACUAAAA
Long non-coding RNA from Gossypium raimondii (Peruvian cotton), 767 nucleotides. RefSeq lists it as uncharacterized. Lineage: Eukaryota; Viridiplantae; Streptophyta; Magnoliopsida; Malvales; Malvaceae. The record is from RefSeq and is a predicted model, not a curated record. The transcript is spliced from 2 exons.